GUCCCCAUCAUCUAGCUGGCCCAGGAUACCUGCCUUUCACGCAGGCGACAGGGGUUCAAAUCCCCUUGGGGACGCCA
This 77-nucleotide transfer RNA is filed under the name Desulfovibrio sp. OttesenSCG-928-F07. Its description in RNAcentral is "tRNA-Glu". It matches the Rfam family "tRNA". Rfam says of the family: Transfer RNA (tRNA) molecules are approximately 80 nucleotides in length. Their secondary structure includes four short double-helical elements and three loops (D, anti-codon, and T loops). Further hydrogen bonds mediate the characteristic L-shaped molecular structure. tRNAs have two regions of fundamental functional importance: the anti-codon, which is responsible for specific mRNA codon recognition, and the 3' end, to which the tRNAs corresponding amino acid is attached (by aminoacyl-tRNA synthetases). tRNAs cope with the degeneracy of the genetic code in two manners: having more than one tRNA (with a specific anti-codon) for a particular amino acid; and 'wobble' base-pairing, i.e. permitting non-standard base-pairing at the 3rd anti-codon position. Lineage: Bacteria; Pseudomonadati; Thermodesulfobacteriota; Desulfovibrionia; Desulfovibrionales; Desulfovibrionaceae. The record is from RNAcentral.